Molecule: ribosomal RNA, 143 nt
Filed under: Hansenula anomala
Lineage: Eukaryota; Fungi; Ascomycota; Saccharomycetes; Phaffomycetales; Wickerhamomycetaceae
Description: Wickerhamomyces anomalus 5.8S ribosomal RNA
Rfam family: 5.8S ribosomal RNA
About the family: 5.8S ribosomal RNA (5.8S rRNA) is a component of the large subunit of the eukaryotic ribosome. It is transcribed by RNA polymerase I as part of the 45S precursor that also contains 18S and 28S rRNA. Functionally, it is thought that 5.8S rRNA may be involved in ribosome translocation.
Source: RNAcentral
CAACGGAUCUCUUGGUUCUCGCAUCGAUGAAGAACGCAGCGAAAUGCGAUAAGUAAUAUGAAUUGCAGAUUUUCGUGAAUCAUCGAAUCUUUGAACGCACAUUGCGCCCUCUGGUAUUCCAGAGGGCAUGCCUGUUUGAGCGU